GACGAACGCUGGCGGCGUGCUUAAUACAUGCAAGUAGAACGCUGAAGGCGGGGCUUGCUCGUGUGGAUGAGUUGCGAACGGGUGAGUAACACGUGGGUAACCUGCCUGGUAGUUGGGGAUAACUCUUGGAAACGGUAGCUAAUACCGCAUAACAGUAGAUGUUGCAUGGCAUUUACUUGAAAGGUGCAAUUGCAUCACUACCAGAUGGACCUGCGUAGUAUUUGCUAGUUGGUGGGGUAGCGGCGCACCUAGGCGACGAGACAUAGCCGGCCUGAGAGGGGGGUGAGCCAGACUGGGACUGUGACACGGCACAGACGGCCUAGGGUGGCAGCAGAAGGGAAACUGGGGCAAUGGACGGAAGUCGGACCAGGCUGCGCCGCGGGAGGGAAGAGCGGUUUCGGGUCCUAAAGGUCGGUAGUAAGAGUAGAACGAGUUUGAGCCUGGAAAGUGGUUGCGGUGACGGUAUUGGGCAAAGAAGGGCCGGCUAACUACGUG
Molecule: ribosomal RNA, 495 nt
Filed under: uncultured bacterium
Lineage: Bacteria
Description: partial 16S ribosomal RNA
Rfam family: Bacterial small subunit ribosomal RNA
Source: RNAcentral